AUGGUCCAGGUGCGGAGUUUUGCUCUCUUUGUCAAAGCUUGGAGGACACUGACCACAUCCUGUUUUGAUGCCCCCUGGCAUCUUUGCUAUGGAGUUGUCUCAGGGAGUGGAUGGGUGUCCCUUGGGGCUCCUUCUAAUUUCGCUGCUCUCCGAUUACUUGCGGCCACCCUGUCUGGUCACCUCAAGAGGCUAUUUUGGUUUGGCUUCUCGACCAUGUGUUGGACCUUGUGGAUGACUAGAAACAAGUUACUAUUGAACAGGUGUUCCCUAACUCUGCGGUUAAUAUCAUCUUCAAACUGCCCAUAUUUUUGCAGCAGGGGAAAUCUCUAA
Molecule: ribosomal RNA, 330 nt
Filed under: Triticum aestivum (bread wheat)
Lineage: Eukaryota; Viridiplantae; Streptophyta; Magnoliopsida; Poales; Poaceae
Description: partial small subunit ribosomal RNA
Source: RNAcentral